UAGCCCUGCCAAGCCUCACCCAACUCCGAGUGAGGAGUACGAAAAACUCUAGGGGCCCCUAUCCUACAACCCUGAUACUAGACCUCCAGACUUUCCUAUCAAGGGCCAUGUCCUCAGAAACCCGUAUUCUAGCCAUGUCAUACCUAAUCACCUCUCUCCAAUACCUCUUAGGCCUCGCUCUGCCUCGCCAUGCGCCGACCAUCGCCAGCCGCUCACAACUCCUCACCGAGGCAUCAGGACUUCUCCUCCGUACAUGCCCGAACCACCUCAGCCUCGCUUCUCGCAUCUUCUCAUCAACCGGGGCCACCCCCACCUUCUC
Molecule: long non-coding RNA, 319 nt
Filed under: Nicotiana benthamiana
Lineage: Eukaryota; Viridiplantae; Streptophyta; Magnoliopsida; Solanales; Solanaceae
Description: long non-coding RNA (NBEN_LNC033740)
Source: RNAcentral